RNAcentral lists this ribosomal RNA (115 nucleotides) under Acanthosepion pharaonis. The record is from RNAcentral. Lineage: Eukaryota; Metazoa; Mollusca; Cephalopoda; Sepiida; Sepiidae.
CUUGCGGUCAAAUCACGCUGAAACACCGGUUCUCGUACGAUCACCGAAGUUAAGCAGCGUAGAGCCAGGUCAGUACUUAGAUGGGGGACCGCUUGGGAACACCUGGUACUGUAAG